AGAACGAACGCUGGCGGCAUGCCUAACACAUGCAAGUCGAACGCUCACCGGGCUUCGGUUCGGUGGGAGUGGCGCACGGGUGAGUAGCGCGUGGGAACCUGCCCUGUUGUGGGGGAUAACCGAGGGAAACUUCGGCUAAUACCGCAUGCGCCCGGGGAAACCCGGGGAAAGAUUUAUCGCAGCAGGAGGGGCCCGCGUCGGAUUAGGUAGUUGGUAGGGUAACGGCCUACCAAGCCUUUGAUCCGUAGCUGGUCUGAGAGGAUGAUCAGCCACACUGGGACUGAGACACGGCCCAGACUCCUACGGGAGGCAGCAGUGGGGAAUAUUGGACAAUGGGCGCAAGCCUGAUCCAGCAAUGCCGCGUGAGUGAUGAAGGCCUUAGGUGUAAAGCUCUUUCGCCCGCGACGAUGAUGACGGUAGCGGGAGAAGAGCCCCGGCUAACUUCGUGCCAGCAGCCGC
Molecule: ribosomal RNA, 459 nt
Filed under: uncultured bacterium
Lineage: Bacteria
Description: SSU rRNA
Rfam family: Bacterial small subunit ribosomal RNA
Source: RNAcentral